Molecule: long non-coding RNA, 241 nt
Filed under: Gossypium barbadense (sea-island cotton)
Lineage: Eukaryota; Viridiplantae; Streptophyta; Magnoliopsida; Malvales; Malvaceae
Description: long non-coding RNA (GBAR_LNC022429)
Source: RNAcentral
AAGUACCUUAAGUUCAAGUUUGGGUGGUCCCUCGAUUGACAACUCAGGCUGCGUGUAUUCACUAGCUUCUAACUCCAAUGGUUCAAACUGUGCUAGUUAAACACAGUCCCUCAUAUUGGCUUCCAUCAUAGCCAUAUUUUCAUUACCUUUUUCAUUUUCCAAUGGCUUAGACCCUAAAGUGUUCUCCAAUGGGUCUUCUUCAAAAUUAUUCUCCCAUUCCAUAAAAACUAAAGUUUCUAAC